RNAcentral lists this long non-coding RNA (278 nucleotides) under Elaeis guineensis (African oil palm). RNAcentral describes it as "long non-coding RNA (EGUI_LNC065307)". Lineage: Eukaryota; Viridiplantae; Streptophyta; Magnoliopsida; Arecales; Arecaceae. The record is from RNAcentral.
GCUGCUCCCCAUCGGGGUCCUCCAGAGAUGGUGUUGAUGAUCCCAGUUGGAGGUCGAUCUUUAGGCUGUUCUUCCCUCCUUAGCGGCUCUGGCUGUGGUAGGGCCCUCGGCCGAUCCUCCCUACCUUCAGGUCGACGUCGGAUGAAUCUGUUGAGCCGACCUCGUCUGAUGAGCUCCUCGAUCCGCCAGUUCAUUUCUUGGAACCUUUGUCCCAGGAGGUCCUCUCGACUGCGAGUCUCGAGAGUCUUCUGGUAGAACGAAGGUAGAGACCCUCCGUU